Molecule: ribosomal RNA, 501 nt
Filed under: uncultured bacterium
Lineage: Bacteria
Description: partial 16S ribosomal RNA
Rfam family: Bacterial small subunit ribosomal RNA
Source: RNAcentral
GACGAACGCUGGCGGCGUGCUUAACACAUGCAAGUCGAACGGUGAAGCACCUUCCUUUUGGUGGGUGUGGAUGAGUGGCGCACGGGUGAGUAACACGUGAGUAACCUGCCCCCUUCUUCUGGAUAACCGCAUGAAAGUGUGGCUAAUACGGGAUAUUCUUUGCCUGCUGCAUGGUGGGUGUGGGAAAGAUUCGCUUUUGGGUGUUUUUGGUGGGGGAUGGGCUCGCGGCCUAUCGUCUUGUUGGUGGGGUGCUGGCCUACCAAGGCGGUGACGGGUAGCCGGGCUGAGAGGGUGGAAGGUCAGACUGGGACUGAGACACGGCCCAGACUGCUACGGGAGGGAGCAGUGGGGAAUAUUGCACAAUGGGCGCAAGCCUGAUGCAGCGACGCCGCGUGAGGGAUGGAGGCCUUCGGGUUGUAAACCUCUUUCGCCAGUGAAGCAGGCCUGUCCAUUGUGGGUGGGUUGACGGUAGCUGGAUAAGAAGCGCCGGCUAACUACGUG